GUUGCUCUGCAUUAUGCUCCUUGUCAAGAUGCAGCAAAUGGAUGUAAGUGAGGAGGUUUGAUGCCAGAGACAUCCUCAGUCCACAAAGUGCUGAUCCGUAUCAGCUGUUAGGGCUGACUGGUGUGUAGAAUAACCAGAGACUCUUGGGAAGACUCAUUAUAGCAGAAUGCCUCUUAAGUGACCUCUGCUUAAACCCACUCAUGAGCUGAAAUGGUACUCUUUCUUUUCCCUGUAGAAUUUACAGAGCCCGUGCUGCACGGGGUGGUAGAAAGCUACUCUCUACUUUCCUUUCUUCCAGUUGUCCCUACCAAGAGUCAUUUGUGUUUAUGCUCCACAAACCAUCAGUGACAGUUACACUUGAUUUUGUAAUUAUAUAUUGCAGUAAAACCUUGUUCAGCAAAUUCUGAGGUCAGAAACAUGUUUGUAUGAGAGCCAUUUUGCUGCUUUGGAAAGAAGAGUGUAGCAAAACCAAUUACAGUUGAAAUACGGGGACAAUGAAAUGAUUUUAAUCCUAGACAAUAAUAUAAAGACCCCAGAGUAAGGCUGCUUAAGUGUUGUGGGGUGCCUUUUCACAUGGAAGAAACAGAAGCUGGCAAUGGCAGGUGAUGUACCAUGGGUGUGGCUUUUGCAAGAAAAAUAAUGUGGAACUCUCGCCAGUGAACUCCUGUAUGAAGAAAGGAGCUUAGCUCUGCAGUGCAAGAUUGCCCUGUAAAUGGACCUUGUAUUUUAGCUGCACUAAAUUAUUUAGGGUCUGUGGCGUCUUGUUGUUGUUCUGUAGAUU
RNAcentral lists this long non-coding RNA (781 nucleotides) under Mus musculus (house mouse). RNAcentral's name for it is "long non-coding RNA chr18:53866627-53867408". Lineage: Eukaryota; Metazoa; Chordata; Mammalia; Rodentia; Muridae. The record is from RNAcentral.